UACAGAGGUCUCAAGCGUUGUUCGGAUUCAUUGGGCGUAAAGGGUGCGUAGGUGGCGCUGUAAGUCGGGUGUGAAAUUUCGGAGCUUAACUCCGAAACUGCAUUCGAUACUGCGGUGCUUGAGGACUGGAGAGGAGACUGGAAUUUACGGUGUAGCAGUGAAAUGCGUAGAUAUCGUAAGGAAGACCAGUGGCGAAGGCGGCGACCUGGACGCAAACUGACGCUGAGAUACGAAAGCCAAGGUAGCAAACAGG
Molecule: ribosomal RNA, 253 nt
Filed under: uncultured bacterium
Lineage: Bacteria
Description: partial 16S ribosomal RNA
Rfam family: Bacterial small subunit ribosomal RNA
Source: RNAcentral